Molecule: long non-coding RNA, 306 nt
Filed under: Pan troglodytes (chimpanzee)
Lineage: Eukaryota; Metazoa; Chordata; Mammalia; Primates; Hominidae
Description: long non-coding RNA NONPTRT015747
Source: RNAcentral
CUUGGACUUUUUUGAUUCUGAAUUCUUCUAAUGUCUUCUGUUACCUCUGAGAAGAAGCCAUCCUUUAUCCUGUUCUAGAAAAGUGAUACACCAAGCUUUAGGAAAGAUGAUGAAAGAAAAGAAAUGGGCCCAGAGGGACCUAAGGAAACCAGGCCAAACUUGCUGUUCACGUGGACCCUUACAGGGAGAAUGGAAGGCAAAAGCAGAGAACUGGGUCCAAUUUUCUUUCUCAGCGCUAUCUGUGCAGUGGUCAGAUGUGGCACUCACAACCAAAAGGCUUUUGAAACAGCACUGGUGAGUCCUGAC